This 88-nucleotide small nucleolar RNA is filed under the name Xylona heveae TC161. RNAcentral describes it as "A. fumigatus snoRNA Afu_513". It matches the Rfam family "A. fumigatus snoRNA Afu_513". The record is from Rfam by way of RNAcentral. Lineage: Eukaryota; Fungi; Ascomycota; Xylonomycetes; Xylonales; Xylonaceae.
UUCCAUGAUGAACCAUAGCACUGGGCACCGAUCAGCAUGACGGAAAUGCUUUGUUGCGGCGAGGCCUCAGAAACCUCGCCCACUGAUU